GUGGAUUAGAUACCCUGGUAGUCCAUGCCGUAAACGUUGGGCACUAGGUGUGGGGGACAUUCCACGUUUUCCGCGCCGUAGCUAACGCAUUAAGUGCCCCGCCUGGGGAGUACGGCCGCAAGGCUAAAACUCAAAGAAAUUGACGGGGGCCCGCACAAGCGGCGGAGCAUGCGGAUUAAUUCGAUGCAACGCGAAGAACCUUACCAAGGCUUGACAUAUACUGGACUGCGUCAGAGAUGGCGUUUCCCUUCGGGGCUGGUAUACAGGUGGUGCACGGUCGUCGUCAACU
RNAcentral lists this ribosomal RNA (289 nucleotides) under uncultured bacterium. Its description in RNAcentral is "partial 16S ribosomal RNA". It matches the Rfam family "Bacterial small subunit ribosomal RNA", at positions 773 to 1060 of the family's 1533-position model. The record is from RNAcentral.